This 72-nucleotide transfer RNA is filed under the name Ovis aries (sheep). It matches the Rfam family "tRNA". Rfam says of the family: Transfer RNA (tRNA) molecules are approximately 80 nucleotides in length. Their secondary structure includes four short double-helical elements and three loops (D, anti-codon, and T loops). The record is from Rfam by way of RNAcentral. Lineage: Eukaryota; Metazoa; Chordata; Mammalia; Artiodactyla; Bovidae.
UCCCUGGUGGCUUAGAGUGUAAAGAAUCUGCCUGCAAUGCAGGAGACCUGGGCUCGAUCCCUGGCUAGAGAA